Long non-coding RNA from Melanotaenia boesemani (Boeseman's rainbowfish), 1072 nucleotides. RefSeq lists it as uncharacterized. NCBI's taxonomy places the organism in Eukaryota, Metazoa, Chordata, Actinopteri, Atheriniformes, Melanotaeniidae. The record is from RefSeq and is a predicted model, not a curated record. The transcript has 5 exons.
CAGAUUGGCUGUCAGUGCAGAGAGGCAGCCAACGACUUGCAAACACCCUGAACAAACACACCUACUGCCAAUUUCUGCUCAGUCUUGAUUUAUCCAUUUGUUGUCUUCAUCCGAAGUAUAAAAGACAGGUUAAUGGAUGGAUGAGAAAAACACUGUGGCAAGACACUUAAUGAUUUGCAAGCAUCUUUUGUUAAAGCCUGUACUGGAAGUUAUUUUAUGUGAUGUUACAUGUUGGUCUACUCCUUUUGGACUCCGAAAAGUGAAUGGAGGCAUAUCACGUGAGGCUGGGAGCCUGAAGGGGUGACAGGAGCCUCCUCCACAACAAAGCAGUUGGAGAAGGGAGACACUGCAGGCCUUGUUCUCUUCUUUGCCACUCUGUGUCAAAGUCUGGCUCAGUCUCACCAGUGUCCUUGCUAAAGCCCUCGAGUGAACCGGGCCAUGUCAGACCUGAAUCCAUCAAUCACUCAGCGCCAGCCAUGGAGAGACAGAGGGGUUGGUAGAAAUGGAGAGAUGAGAGGAGUGAGGGAAGAGAAGCAUGGAAUUUGGAGAGCCAGCUGUCAGGUCACAAAAGGCCCUCACAACCAAGUCCAAUCAAGAUACUCGCGGAGCUAAAACACAUGUUUUAGAAGAGGACAGCAGGAGAGAGGAAAGUCACAACAAAAAAGUCAAAGUGAGAAGGGCAGAGAAUCAGCUGACGUGACUUGAGAAAGGAGAUGAAAGCAAAAGGAGGGCAAGGAGGAAGAAGGAAGAUGGCGACAGAACAAAAGCAAACAGGAAGAUGUGACAAAGCUGUGGAUGAGCUUUUCAGCAGCUGCUAUGACUGACUGCAAACUCAUUUAUUACAGGUCACAAACGCCAAGUGCUUCAUUUAAAAAGGACAUCCUACCUUCCCUACAAACCCGACCACCAUCACCCCCCCAGCAGAAGUGAAAAAUCGAACAGCAAGAAUAGCACGUAGGGCGCACCGCUCCAUUACUUGGAGGCCAGCAGCAACCAAAAGAUUGCAACAGGGUUUGAGCUGUGGGAGGGCAAAAACAGCACCUACGCAAUAAAAAUAUAUGAUAAACUCAAA